GCACCAGCCUCUCAUACUACCACAAAUCUAGACAGAGGGGGAAAUGUUUGUUUACCUUCUUCCCAUCCACCUCCCCUUCUAUCCUCGCUCUUUAUAUAUUAUAUAUAUAUUCAUAACUCUUUUGUUUUAUUCAAUCUUCUUCAGAUCCUAUUCUCCAUCCAAGCUUCUUAUGUUCUAGUAUUACUACUAGUCAGUAAAUUGUAUCUUCGCUCCCUCUCGCCGUUCCCCCAUCUCAUACGAGGCCCUUUCAUCGAUCUGAAACCCUCAGGAGGAGUCAUACUUAGGGUUGCCACAUGAAAUAAGUGCUGUUAAAAAUGUUUAUUUUACUGUGUACCGGUCGACAUCAAAAACUCCGUUCGUUAUAAAGGAGACUGCGGACAAGGUUAUGGAUGAUCUCUUGAGCUUACUUGAUCCUAUCUUGUAUACGCUUUGUAUUUAAAAUAACGGCGAUGCCUUGAUAUAUUCUCUCCGAAACGAUCAUUUAACCCUGCAAUAUUUUUCUAUCUCGACUAAAAGAGAAUGUUGAUUUUCCUCCAUGAGUUCCCAAAAAUCACUUUUUUUUAAAUCCUGCGCCAAAACUCUGUUUAUAUAGCUUGCGUGAAAAUACAUAUAUCCUCCAGA
RNAcentral lists this small RNA (621 nucleotides) under Histoplasma capsulatum var. duboisii H88. RNAcentral's name for it is "Histoplasma capsulatum H88 hypothetical RNA". The record is from RNAcentral. Lineage: Eukaryota; Fungi; Ascomycota; Eurotiomycetes; Onygenales; Ajellomycetaceae.